GAUGAACGCUGGCGGCGUGCCUAAUACAUGCAAGUCGAGCGAACAGACGAGGAGCUUGCUCCUCUGACGUUAGCGGCGGACGGGUGAGUAACACGUGGAUAACCUACCUAUAAGACUGGGAUAACUUCGGGAAACCGGAGCUAAUACCGGAUAACAUGUUGAACCGCAUGGUUCAACAGUGAAAGACGGUCUUGCUGUCACUUAUAGACGGAUCCGCGCCGCAUUAGCUAGUUGGUAAGGUAACGGCUUACCAAGGCAACGAUGCGUAGCCGACCUGAGAGGGUGAUCAGCCACACUGGAACUGAGACACGGUCCAGACUCCUACGGGAGGCAGCAGUAGGGAAUCUUCCGCAAUGGGCGAAAGCCUGACGGAGCAACGCCGCGUGAGUGAAGAAGGUCUUCGGAUCGUAAAACUCUGUUAUUAGGGAAGAACAAAUGUGUAAGUAACUAUGCACGUCUUGACGGUACCUAAUCAGAAAGCCACGGCUAACUACGUG
Molecule: ribosomal RNA, 497 nt
Filed under: uncultured bacterium
Lineage: Bacteria
Description: partial 16S ribosomal RNA
Rfam family: Bacterial small subunit ribosomal RNA
Source: RNAcentral